UACGUAGGGUGCGAGCGUUGCCCGGAUUUAUUGGGCGUAAAGGGCGCGUAGGCGGCCACCGCAAGUCAGUUGUGAAAUCUCUGGGCUUAACCCAGAAAGGUCAACUGAUACUGCGGGGCUAGAGUGCAGAAGGGGCAACUGGAAUUCUCGGUGUAGCGGUGAAAUGCGUAGAUAUCGAGAGGAACACCUGCGGCGAAGGCGGGUUGCUGGGCUGACACUGACGCUGAAGCGCGAAAGCUAGGGGAGCGAACGGG
RNAcentral lists this ribosomal RNA (254 nucleotides) under uncultured bacterium. RNAcentral's name for it is "partial 16S ribosomal RNA". It matches the Rfam family "Bacterial small subunit ribosomal RNA", at positions 524 to 776 of the family's 1533-position model. The record is from RNAcentral.